GACGAACGCUGGCGGCGUGCCUAAUACAUGCAAGUAGGACGCACAGUUUAUACCGUAGCUUGCUACACCAUAGACUGUGAGUUGCGAACGGGUGAGUAACGCGUAGGUAACCUGCCUAUUAGAGGGGGAUAACUAUUGGAAACGAUAGCUAAUACCGCAUAACAGUAUGUAACACAUGUUAGAUGCUUGAAAGAUGCAAUUGCAUCGCUAGUAGAUGGACCUGCGUUGUAUUAGCUAGUAGGUAGGGUAAUGGCCUACCUAGGCGACGAUACAUAGCCGACCUGAGAGGGUGAUCGGCCACACUGGGACUGAGACACGGCCCAGACUCCUACGGGAGGCAGCAGUAGGGAAUCUUCGGCAAUGGGGGGAACCCUGACCGAGCAACGCCGCGUGAACGAAGAAGGCUUUCGAGUCGUAAAGUUCUUUUAUAUGGGAAGAUAAUGACGGUACCAUAAGAAAAAGCCCCGGCUAACUACGUGCCAGCAGCCGCGGUAAUACGUAGGGGGCUAGCGUUGUCCGGAUUUAUUGGGCGUAAAGCGAGCGCAGGCGGUUCCUUAAGUCUGAUGUGAAAGCCCUCGGCUCAACCGGGGAGGGUCAUUGGAAACUGGGGAACUUGAGUGCAGAAGAGGAGAGUGGAAUUCCAUGUGUAGCGGUGAAAUGCGUAGAUAUAUGGAGGAACACCAGUGGCGAAGGCGACUCUCUGGUCUGUAACUGACGCUGAGGCUCGAAAGCGUGGGUAGCAAACAGG
This 748-nucleotide ribosomal RNA is filed under the name Streptococcus anginosus. Its description in RNAcentral is "bacterial SSU rRNA". It matches the Rfam family "Bacterial small subunit ribosomal RNA", at positions 28 to 776 of the family's 1533-position model. The record is from RNAcentral. Lineage: Bacteria; Bacillati; Bacillota; Bacilli; Lactobacillales; Streptococcaceae.